Molecule: ribosomal RNA, 494 nt
Filed under: uncultured bacterium
Lineage: Bacteria
Description: partial 16S ribosomal RNA
Rfam family: Bacterial small subunit ribosomal RNA
Source: RNAcentral
GACGAACGCUGGCGGCGUGCUUAACACAUGCAAGUCGAACGGUGAAGCGCCUUCCUUUUUGGUGGGUGUGGAUGAGUGGCGAACGGGUGAGUAACACGUGAGUAACCUGCCCCCUUCUUCUGGAUAACCGCAUGAAAGUGUGGCUAAUACGGGAUAUUCUGGGUCUGUCGCAUGAUGGGUCUGGGAAAGAUAUUGUUUCGGUGGGGGAUGGGCUCGCGGCCUAUCAGCUUGUUGGUGGGGUGAUGGCCUACCAAGGCGGUGACGGGUAGCCGGCCUGAGAGGGUGGACGGUCACACUGGGACUGAGACACGGACCAGACUCCUACGGGAGGCAGCAGGGGGGAAUAGUGCACAAUGGGCGCAAGCCUGAUGCAGCGACGCCGCGUGAGGGAUGGAGGCCUUCGGGUUGUGAACCUCUUUCGCCAGUGAAGCAGGCCUGCCUCGUUUGUGGGUGGGUUGACGGUAGCUGGAUAAGAAGCGCCGGCUAACUACGUG